This 301-nucleotide ribosomal RNA is filed under the name uncultured bacterium. Its description in RNAcentral is "partial 16S ribosomal RNA". It matches the Rfam family "Bacterial small subunit ribosomal RNA", at positions 509 to 807 of the family's 1533-position model. The record is from RNAcentral.
CAGCAGCCACGGUAAAACGUAGGUGGCAAGCGUUGUCCGGAAUUAUUGGGCGUAAAGCGCGCGCAGGUGGUUUAAUAAGUCUGAUGUGAAAGCCCACGGCUCAACCGUGGAGGGUCAUUGGAAACUGUUAAACUUGAGUGCAGGAGAGAAAAGUGGAAUUCCUAGUGUAGCGGUGAAAUGCGUAGAGAUUAGGAGGAACACCAGUGGCGAAGGCGGCUUUUUGACCUGUAACUGACACUGAGGCGCGAAAGCGUGAGGAGCAAACAGGAUUAGAUACCCGGGUAGUCCCUGUCUCUUAUAC